AAAAUUAAAAACUUGUUUCAUAAACAUAUAGAAGAUAUGUUAAUCUUUGAUACAAAAUAACUUUUUCUGUUUACUUUGUUCGUACGCCAAGUUAUAAGUGUUCAAACUAGGGUGAUGAUGGUGUACGAAUAACAUGUGUGCUUACUGUAGGUUUGCGUGUUUGGUUGAGUUAGCAACCCACUAAGCUGCAAACUAAAGGCAAACUAUAACACUGGUGAGGCGCUUAGCUUAGCUUAUUUUACGAAAUUGUGCCUAAACUCGCUAAUGAUAAGCAAUAAUCCGAGUAACAAUAAAUACUACGACGAGGGUCACAAAGGCCCUUAUUUGGUAUACGUCGAGCUAUCAAAACUGUUGGUAAAAUUGGGACUUCACGAUAUAGAGGAGGUCGCGCGGAUAGGGCAGGUGCAAGAUUGCAUGUGGGUCGGCCGACAGUGCAAUCAAGGUUGUUGAAAACAGUAUGGGUAUGCUCCUCGAAUUUUGCGACACUUCGUGCAAAAGGCGGGCCUAAUUUUUAGGCUUCCUGGUCACCCCUCCACCUCGGGGGAAUGGUUACCCACCGACAGGGUCAAACUCUGGUUUAGAGGAGAGCAGCUGUCCAAGGAAAUCAAGUUCCCAUACGCCAAGGUAUUAGUGAAAACGUUCGUUCAGUUUAGCCAAUGCUUGCAACUGCAAGGGUAACCACUCGGCUACGCACCCGCAAUGAGAGGCUAGAGGAAAAGCGUAUGCAACUCAAAAAAGCAUGACGCUGGAAAACCUAUCACGGGCUGAGGUAAAGGCUAGGUAUCCGACACUCUUUGGUAGAUUUUCACCGAACUUUGAGGACCCAGGGGAGUUUCCCCGACCCACUUGGCAAAAUGGCACCCUCACCGAACACCAGAACAACAACACAGAGGCAGCUAGGGAAAUUCAUUAAAGGGCAUUAAAAAGGUGUUCGAGCUUGCGGAGUCCCUAGACUACCCUUCGGUCGUGGGAGGAGAUUUCAGCGCCAAGUCUUCCAUCUGGGGAAAUCAAGGAAACUUUUCCAGUGACCGCAAGGGACGCAGCAUCGAGAAUGCUACCCGUCAGGCGGGUUUUAUCAGCCUUAACGACGGCUCUCCAGCUUUCUCCGGGAACCCUUCCCAGUUUUCAGUUCUUGAUCUCACCUUCUCCAAUCACAGGAACGGUAGAAUUGAAUUGCAAGCCCUUAAAUCCAAAAUAACCAACAGCAACCACUUCCCAAUCGUCAUAACAGUCGAAAGUUUAGACUACAGUUUCAAGAAAAGAAAGUGCUGCACAAUAGAAUAAAUUGUAUUCUUGGAGCAAGCAGCUUUACUAAUCUGCAAGAGCACAACGAUAAGGUCAAAUCCCUGACCAGGAAGAACACAGUUACCAUUCCCAGUAACAACAAGUAUAUUGCCAAAAAAUUGUGGAACGAGGGUAUAGAGAGACUAUUUCGCGUGAGAAAUGCGUGCAGGCAAAUAUACUAUUACAC
RNAcentral lists this long non-coding RNA (1471 nucleotides) under Drosophila guanche. Lineage: Eukaryota; Metazoa; Arthropoda; Insecta; Diptera; Drosophilidae. The record is from RNAcentral.